RNAcentral lists this ribosomal RNA (301 nucleotides) under uncultured bacterium. RNAcentral's name for it is "partial 16S ribosomal RNA". It matches the Rfam family "Bacterial small subunit ribosomal RNA", at positions 509 to 807 of the family's 1533-position model. The record is from RNAcentral.
CAGUCGCCGCGGUAAAACGGAGGGUGCAAGCGUUAAUCGGAAUUACUGGGCGUAAAGCGCACGCAGGUGGUGGUUUAAGUCCGUUGUGAAAGCCCUGGGCUCAACCUGGGAAUUGCAGUGGAUACUGGGUCACUAGAGUGUGGUAGAGGAUAGUGGAAUUUCCGGUGUAGCAGUGAAAUGCGUAGAGAUCGGAAGGAACAUCUGUGGCGAAGGCGACUAUCUGGGCCAACACUGACACUGAGGCACGAAAGCGUGGGGAGCAAACAGGAUUAGAUACCCCUGUAGUCCCUGUCUCUUAUAC